GGGCGCAUAGCUCAGUUGGUCAGAGCGCACGGUUCACAUCCGUGAGGUCAUAGGUUCGAGUCCUUUUGCGCCCA
RNAcentral lists this transfer RNA (74 nucleotides) under Chloroflexota bacterium. RNAcentral's name for it is "tRNA-Val". It matches the Rfam family "tRNA". Rfam says of the family: Transfer RNA (tRNA) molecules are approximately 80 nucleotides in length. Lineage: Bacteria; Bacillati; Chloroflexota. The record is from RNAcentral.